Molecule: long non-coding RNA, 564 nt
Filed under: Homo sapiens (human)
Lineage: Eukaryota; Metazoa; Chordata; Mammalia; Primates; Hominidae
Description: HSALNT0297881
Source: RNAcentral
AGUCCUAAAGGCUGGUCUCACUCCCAUCCUGCCACGCAACAGCACAGGGUCUAUUUCGAGACAGCCAGUGACCAGGGCUGAGAACUUGCCCCAGACCACCAGCCUCCUCACUGAGAAAGCAAGCAGAAUCACAGUUUUUUGGAAUCUCAGGGAGCCUUCAGCGGCAAUCCAGUUCCUUCAAAGGGUCUGUGGAUUCUCUCAGUUUUCAUGAAGCUGGCAUGUAAUUCUCGUUAACUCCAUGAGCAGAGUUUCAAUACUGCCCUGACCAAUGGGCAAAGAUGAUUCCCAGGCUGGAUCCCUGAACGCUAACUGACAUCCUGCUUUUCUUAAGGGAUAUGGAAAUUUCCCUGGGACAGCUGUGCUCUGCUGGCUAAGGAGCCCACAAGGUUAAUGAACACCCACAAAGACUGAGGAGGAUAGAGAGCAUUCUUCACUGGAUGAUUAGCAUGCCAGCAUUCUUUCCUCUGUGGUAAUGAUGGUCAAGAAGGUGCCUGGUGAUAGAAGGGAGAAUGAAGGGUUGCUGCUUCUGCCUCAAACGCUUAUUAAAAUUCAUUUCCAUUCAAA